GACGAACGCUGGCGGCGUGCCUAAUACAUGCAAGUUGAGCGAUGAAGAUUGGUGCUUGCACCAAUUUGAAGAGCAGCGAACGGGAGAGUAACGCGUGGGAAAUCUGCCUUUGAGCGGGGGACAACAUUUGGAAACGAAUGCUAAUACCGCAUAACAACUUUAAACAUAAGUUUUAAGUUUGAAAGAUGCAAUUGCAUCACUCAAAGAUGAUCCCGCGUUGUAUUAGCUAGUUGGUGAGGUAAAGGCUCACCAAGGCGAUGAUACAUAGCCGACCUGAGAGGGUGAUCGGCCACAUUGGGACUGAGACACGGCCCAAACUCCUACGGGAGGCAGCAGUAGGGAAUCUUCGGCAAUGGACGAAAGUCUGACCGAGCAACGCCGCGUGAGUGAAGAAGGUUUUCGGAUCGUAAAACUCUGUUGGUAGAGAAGAACGUUGGUGAGAGUGGAAAGCUCAUCAAGUGACGGUAACUACCCAGAAAGGGACGGCUAACUACGUG
Molecule: ribosomal RNA, 497 nt
Filed under: uncultured bacterium
Lineage: Bacteria
Description: partial 16S ribosomal RNA
Rfam family: Bacterial small subunit ribosomal RNA
Source: RNAcentral